RNAcentral lists this ribosomal RNA (235 nucleotides) under uncultured bacterium. RNAcentral's name for it is "partial 16S ribosomal RNA". It matches the Rfam family "Bacterial small subunit ribosomal RNA", at positions 96 to 334 of the family's 1533-position model. The record is from RNAcentral.
UGGCGGACGGGUGAGUAAUGUCUGGGAAACUGCCCGAUGGAGGGGGAUAACUACUGGAAACGGUAGCUAAUACCGCAUAACGUCGCAAGACCAAAGAGGGGGACCUUAGGGCCUCUUGCCAUCGGAUGUGCCCAGAUGGGAUUAGCUAGUAGGUGGGGUAACGGCUCACCUAGGCGACGAUCCCUAGCCGGUCUGAGAGGAUGACCAGCCACACUGGAACUGAGACACGGUCCAG